RNAcentral lists this ribosomal RNA (468 nucleotides) under uncultured bacterium. RNAcentral's name for it is "partial 16S ribosomal RNA". It matches the Rfam family "Bacterial small subunit ribosomal RNA", at positions 28 to 507 of the family's 1533-position model. The record is from RNAcentral.
GACGAACGCUGGCGGCGUGCUUAACACAUGCAAGUCGAACGGAAAGGCCCUGCUUUUGUGGGGUGCUCGAGUGGCGAACGUGUGAGUAACACGUGAGUAACCUGCCCUUUACUUUGUUAUAACUUCAGGAAACUGGUGCUAAUACCUUAUAGUAUCUCCUGCUGCAUGGUGGUGGUUGGAAAUUUUCGGCGUUUGGGGAUGGACUCGCGGGUUAUCAGCUUGUUGUUGGGGUAGUGGCUUACCAAGGCUUUGACGGGUAGCCGGCAUGAGAGGGUGACCGGCGACAAUGGGACUGAGAUACGGCGCAGAAUCCAACGGGAGGCAGCAGUGGGAAAUAUUGCACAAUGGGCGGAAGCCUGAUGCAGAAACGCCGCGUGCGGGAUGACGGCCUUCGGGUUGUAAACAGCUUUCGACUGUGACGAAGAGUGAGUGACGGUAAUGGGUAAAGAAGCACCGGCUAACUACGUG